CAAGUCGAACGAAGUAGCAAUACUUAGUGGCAGACGGGUGAGUAACAUGUAGGUAUCUUCCCUUUGGUGAGGAAUAACACGAGGAAACUUGUGCUAAUACCUCAUAAGUCUUCACGGAGAAAGCUUUAUGCGCCGAAGGAUGAGCCUGCACUUGAUUAGUUUGUUGGUGGGGUAAUGGCCUACCAAGACUUUGAUCUAUAGCUGAUCUGAGAGGAUGAUCAGCCACAUUGGGACUGAGACACGGCCCAAACUCCUACGGGAGGCAGCAGUAGGGAAUAUUGCACAAUGGAGGAAACUCUGAUGCAGCGAUGCCGCGUGAGUGAAGAAGGCCUUUGGGUUGUAAAGCUCUUUCGUCGGGGAAGAAAAUGACUGUACCCGAAUAAGAAGGUCCGGCUAACUUCGUGCCAGCAGCCGCGGUAAUACGAAGGGACCUAGCGUAGUUCGGAAUUACUGGGCUUAAAGAGUUCGUAGGUGGUUAAAAAAGUUGGUGGUGAAAUCCCAGAGCUUAACUCUGGAACUGCCAUCAAAACUUUUUAGCUAGAGUAUGAUAGAGGAAAGCAGAAUUUCUAGUGUAGAGGUGAAAUUCGUAGAUAUUAGAAAGAAUACCAAUUGCGAAGGCAGCUUUCUGGAUCAUUACUGACGCUGAGGAACGAAAGCAUGGGUAGCGAAGAGGAUUAGAUACCCUCGUAGUCCAUGCCGUAAACGAUGUGUGUUAGACGUUGGAAAUUUAUUUUCAGCGUCGCAGCGAAAGCAUUAAACACACCGCCUGGGGAGUA
This 776-nucleotide ribosomal RNA is filed under the name uncultured marine bacterium. Its description in RNAcentral is "bacterial SSU rRNA". It matches the Rfam family "Bacterial small subunit ribosomal RNA", at positions 58 to 882 of the family's 1533-position model. The record is from RNAcentral.